This 508-nucleotide ribosomal RNA is filed under the name uncultured bacterium. RNAcentral's name for it is "partial 16S ribosomal RNA". It matches the Rfam family "Bacterial small subunit ribosomal RNA", at positions 30 to 523 of the family's 1533-position model. The record is from RNAcentral.
AUUGAACGCUGGCGGCAUGCCUUACACAUGCAAGUCGAACGGCAGCGGGGGAGAAGCUUGCUUUUCCUGCCGGCGAGUGGCGAACGGGUGAGUAAUACAUCGGAACGUGCCCUGUAGUGGGGGAUAACUAGUCGAAAGAUUAGCUAAUACCGCAUACGACCUGAGGGUGAAAGUGGGGGACCGCAAGGCCUCAUGCUAUAGGAGCGGCCGAUGUCUGAUUAGCUAGUUGGUGGGGUAAAGGCCUACCAAGGCGACGAUCAGUAGCUGGUCUGAGAGGACGAUCAGCCACACGGGGACUGAGACACGGCCCAGACUCCUACGGGAGGCAGCAGUGGGGAAUUUUGGAAAAUGGGCGAAAGCCUGAUCCAGCAAUGCCGCGUGUGUGAAGAAGGCCUUCGGGUUGUAAAGCACUUUUGUCCGGAAAGAAAUGGCUCUGGUUAAUACCUGGGGUCGAUGACGGUACCGGAAGAAUAAGGACCGGCUAACUACGUGCCAGCAGCCGCGGUAA